Molecule: unclassified non-coding RNA, 346 nt
Filed under: soil metagenome
Description: partial contains 5.8S ribosomal RNA, internal transcribed spacer 2, and large subunit ribosomal RNA
Rfam family: 5.8S ribosomal RNA (bases 1-119)
Source: RNAcentral
GAUGAAGAACGCAGCGAAAUGCGAUACGUAAUGUGAAUUGCAAAUUCAGUGAAUCAUCGAGUCUUUGAACGCACAUUGCGCCCCCUGGUAUUCCGGGGGGCAUGCCUGUCCGAGCGUCAUUGCUGCCCUCAAGCACGGCUUGUGUGUUGGGCCCCGUCCUCCGAUCCCGGGGGACGGGCCCGAAAGGCAGCGGCGGCACCGCGUCCGGUCCUCGAGCGUAUGGGGCUUUGUCACCCGCUCUGUAGGCCCGGCCGGCGCUUGCCGAUCAACCCAAAUUUUAUAUCCAGGUUGACCUCGGAUCAGGUAGGGAUACCCGCUGAACUUAAGCAUAUCAAUAAGCGGAGGA